ANGUCCAUAUCAUGCCCUUAUGACCUGGGCUACACACGUACUACAAUGGCCGGUACAACGGGCCGCGAAGCCGCGAGGCGGAGCCAAUCCUUAAAAGCCGGUCUCAGUUCGGAUUGCAGGCUGCAACUCGCCUGCAUGAAGUCGGAAUUGCUAGUAAUCGCGGAUCAGCAUGCCGCGGUGAAUACGUUCCCGGGUCUUGUACACACCGCCCGUCACACCACGAGAGUUUACAACACCCGAAGUCGGUGGGGUAACCCGCAAGGGAGCCAGCCGCCGAAGGUGGGGUAGAUGAUUGGGGUGAAGUCGUAACAAGGUAGCCGUAUCGGAAGGUGCGGUUGGAUCANCACNNA
This 350-nucleotide ribosomal RNA is filed under the name Bacillus tipchiralis. Its description in RNAcentral is "bacterial SSU rRNA". It matches the Rfam family "Bacterial small subunit ribosomal RNA", at positions 1182 to 1533 of the family's 1533-position model. The record is from RNAcentral. Lineage: Bacteria; Bacillati; Bacillota; Bacilli; Caryophanales; Bacillaceae.